Molecule: ribosomal RNA, 301 nt
Filed under: uncultured bacterium
Lineage: Bacteria
Description: partial 16S ribosomal RNA
Rfam family: Bacterial small subunit ribosomal RNA
Source: RNAcentral
CAGUAGCCGCGGGAAUACGUAGGGUGCGAGCGUUAAUCGGAAUUACUGGGCGUAAAGCGUGCGCAGGCGGUUAUAUAAGACAGAUGUGAAAUCCCCGGGCUCAACCUGGGACCUGCAUUUGUGACUGUAUAGCUAGAGUACGGUAGAGGGGGAUGGAACUCCGCGUGUAGCAGUGAAAUGCGUAGAUAUGCGGAGGAACACCGAUGGCGAAGGCAAUCCCCUGGACCUGUACUGACGCUCAUGCACGAAAGCGUGGGGAGCAGACAGGAUUAGAUACCCCUGUAGUCCCUGUCUCUUAUAC